AGUCGGUCCCAAGGGUAUGGCUGUUCGCCAUUUAAAGUGGUACGCGAGCUGGGUUCAGAACGUCGUGAGACAGUUCGGUCCCUAUCUGCCAUGGGCGUUGGAGAUUUGAGAGGGGCUGCUCCUAGUACGAGAGGACCGGAGUGGACGAACCUCUGGUGUUCCGGUUGUCACGCCAGUGGCAUUGCCGGGUAGCUAUGUUCGGAAGCGAUAACCGCUGAAAGCAUCUAAGCGGGAAGCGCGCCUCAAGAUGAGAUCUCCCGGGGCACAAGCCCCCUGAAGGAACCAUGUAGACUACGUGGUUGAUAGGUCAGGUGUGUAAGUACAGCAAUGUAUUGAGCUAACUGAUACUAAUGAUCCGUGCGGCUUGACCAUAUAACCUCA
This 381-nucleotide ribosomal RNA is filed under the name Salmonella enterica subsp. enterica. RNAcentral describes it as "partial 23S ribosomal RNA". It matches the Rfam family "Bacterial large subunit ribosomal RNA", at positions 2557 to 2925 of the family's 2925-position model. The record is from RNAcentral. Lineage: Bacteria; Pseudomonadati; Pseudomonadota; Gammaproteobacteria; Enterobacterales; Enterobacteriaceae. RNAcentral also lists the same sequence under 4 other names.